Molecule: RNA transcript, 3695 nt
Organism: Carassius auratus (goldfish)
Lineage: Eukaryota; Metazoa; Chordata; Actinopteri; Cypriniformes; Cyprinidae
Gene name: prominin-1-A-like
Exons: 29
Source: RefSeq, a predicted model, not a curated record
CAAAACAGCUCGACUCACUAAAGCCAUCUCCAGUGCGCGUGCACUGCAGAGCAGACAGAAGAGGAGCGCGCAGAGGUCAGACAAACACUCAGCUCAUCCUGAGCUCUACAGACCGGAGGGAUGUUUACCAUGAAGCCAUCAAAAGGAAGCGGGGAAUAAACGCACCAGCUGGAAUAUAUAUCUUUUCCAUUAUUCUGUGUUUUAUUUUUUUAUGUAUCUCUGGUUAUUUUUUUUUAUUAUUAUUUGUAUUUUUGAUGUCGAGGACUAGAGAGCAUUCCAAACAAAUAUACUUUUAUCUCACUUUCCUUCCCUCCCGUUUUUUAUCAAAACCUCCCUGCGUAAAGGACUGACAGGCAUGUGGUGGAAAGUGGGGCUCGUGCUGGUGAUGUGCUCGGGUCUCACGAGCAGCGAAGCCCGAGAGGAGCACCGGGAUUCGCCUCCGCGCAACACGAUGCUCAGAGCGCCCGUGGAAACGCUGGACUUUGGCUUCGUGCCGUCGGUGACGUACGAAACGCACGCGUAUUAUGAACCGGGUCCCAUCGGUAUUGUUUUCCACAUGGUCCACGCGUUUCUGUACGUGGUUCAACCAAACCCUUUCCCCAAAGAUCUCAUUGUUAAAAUGGUCCAGCAGAACAUGGGAGGAAUCAAAGGGGACGAUUACAAGAAGCCGGAAAAUGUUGUAUUAUUACUACAGGCGAUCUACUAUGAGCUGGGCUUCAUAUUGCUGUCGGUUCUGGGGGUGAUAUUUGUGCUGUUCGUGCCGGUCGUGGGCCUGUUUUUCUGUGUGUGCCGCUGCUGUGAGAACUGUGGAGGUGAGAUGCAUCAGAGACAGAAGAAGAACGGCGACUGCCUGAAAGGUUUCUACAUGACCACACUCAUCGCUACCUCUGUCUUCCUCGCAGUGGGAGUGACGAUCGCUUACGCAGCAAAUCAGAACAUCACAAAUCAGAUCAAGAGCACCAGACGCCUUGUCAGCUCUAACAUGAGAGACCUGAAAUCUUUUGCGAACAGCACACCCAUUCAAAUAGACUACCUCGCUGCACAGUACACAACAGCCAAGAACAAAGUGUUAUCAGACUUAGACAAUAUUGGGAAUCUGCUGGGUGGACAGAUUCACAAUCAGCUGGAGAGAGAAGUGGUGCCUGCUUUAGACAACGCUCUUCGCAUGACAGCAGUUAAAGUGGAGGGUGCUAUUAAAGCCAUGCGGGAGACCAAAGAGUCAUUAGAGAGUGUGACCACAUCACUGGAGAUCCUGCAGGAAGGGACGGGCAGACUCCAGAUCUCUCUUCAGUCUGAACGCGUGUCUCUCUCAAACACACUCAACGACCCGGCCUGCUCUAAUGGAGACGUAACACACACCUGCAACACCAUCCGCGGGACACUCAGCCAGCUCGUGCUCAGUGCAAACUUUCACGGGUUGCCUGAUGUUGAGGCACCUUUGGCCAGUCUGGAUGCUGUGCUUCAAACAGACCUCAGUGAUAUCGUACAGAAGGGCUACUCUUCUUUUAACGACACACCGAGGUUGAUCAGAGAACAGACAAAAGAAAUUUUGUCGGCUUUACCCAAAGUGAAAGGGCUGCUGGAUAAGUCUGGUGGAGAGAUAGUUGCUUUCACAAAGAUGUUCCCGGUUGAACAUGCACUUGAGAACUUCACAAAGUUCCUGACAGAGAGCCAGAAGAAUAUUGAAGCGUACUAUCCUCAGAUCGACCAGCUGGACUUCUACAGAUGGAUUGGAUGUGUGGUGAUUUGUUGUAUGGUCGUGCUGGUUCUGACUUUUAAUUUCCUGGGUCUGUUGUUUGGAUCAUGUGGUUAUGAUAAAAAUGCCACACCAACCACUCGUGGCUGUCUGUCCAACAGCGGAGGAAACCUACUGAUGGCUUCUGUUGGCUUCAGCUUCAUCUUCUCCUGGGUGCUCAUGGGAGUUGUAGUCACCUCGUUUAUUGUUGGGGGAAACGUAGAGAAGCUCGUUUGCGAGCCGCUGGCUAACAGACAGAUUUUUAAGAUAAUCGACACACCAUAUAUGGUCCAUCCUGCCAAAAAGAACUUCCUUCCUGGGAUGCUGUUCCAAGAUCCAAACAUCGACCUCACUGUGGGCAGUAUGUACAGAGAUUGUUAUGAGAAUCACGGUUUGUAUUCAGCGCUGCAACUGGAGACCAACUUCAACUUCAACAAGUUUCUCAAUGCCACAGUGUAUAACCUGGAACUGACCGAGAUAUUUAACAGUGUGAGUGUGGAUCUCCAGGGGAUGCUGCUUCUGGAACAGGAGGGCAAAGAUAACCUCAUUGACUUUGCUAACACAGGCAUUGGAGAAAUCGACUAUCAGGCUUAUCUAACCGAGGUGAAUAAAGGAGUGACAGUUGUGGAUCUUUUGUCCUACGCAAAUGAACUUGAAGCUCAAGCAGAACAGCUGCCACGUGGGGCUCUCGAGAAUGCGCUCAAGGGUCAUGCCAGCAGCAUCAGACAGAUCCACAAAGAACAAGUGGUGCCUAUGGAACAGGCCAUGAAAUUUGUGAAAGCAAGGGGCACUUUAAGUCAAAGCAUCAGACUGCUUCAGAAAACAUCCAGAGAACUACCUAUUAAAGUGACAAAUGUCUUGAAUGCCAUUGAAGCAGCAGAGUACCUCAUCGCCAACAACGCUUCACAUGUGGUCAAACAGGAGGCUGAUAAAUUCAUUAAGAAACUUCUGGGAUAUUUUUCACAAUAUACGGAGUGGGUCAAGCAUUCUCUGGACAUGGAGGUCGCCCAGUGCAAGCCCAUCAGCAACAUCAUUGACUCGCUGGAGAUCGUUGGCUGCGGCUUCGUUGUUGACUCAGUGAACAUGUUCUGGUUCGGUCUGGGAGGAUGCUGUUUGUUACUCAUUCCCAGCAUCAUCAUUUCUGUAAAACUGGCCAAGUUCUACCGCAGGAUGGACACCGAGGACGUCUUUGAUGACUAUCCAUCCUAUGACACAAUGAGGUGGUAUCCUCGGGCCUCAGCCCCCCCAAGACAGCCUGACUGGUGACACAGAUACACACACACACACUUUCACACGGGGUAUGCAACUGUGCAUGCAUCCUGCAGCGGUGCUGAGAACUGGAGCUAAAGAGCGUUUAGUAAGAUUCCAUGGACGACAACCGAAGAUGGAAAAAAGGGAAUCUAAUCUGUGAAAAUCAAUCUAGUUUCUUACAAUAAAACAUACUUGGACCUAAACUAAAGAAUACCACGCUUAUUCCACACACAGUUUAUUGUACAUGGUACAGCAAUGUGUUCUUUUUAUACACUUUCAACGUGUUUUUGAAAGUUUUGUAUGUAUUUUGUUAAAAUCUGUUUUAUAAAACAUGUCCUUUAGACAUAAUUGUGGGCACAUCUAAAUUUUGUAAUGGUCUUUUUAACAUUUGAUAUAAAGGGGCAAGAAAGCUCUGCGAUGUCAGUCUGUGUACUGUUGCUUAUGGAUCACGAAACGGUGUUUCUGAACCAAACAUCUCAAGUUUGAAGGACAAAGCAGAUUAAGUAUUUACAUAGAAAAGUGGAGCACUUCAUUUAUCAUGUUAACUUUUCAGUUCUUCUGCGCAAUGUUACUUUUAGUACAUUUUAUUGUUCAACAACCGAAUGUUAGCUUCAGAAAUGUUUCUUAGAGAAAAUUAUGAAAACUAUGUUGAAUGCACUGGAAAAGUCUUAAUGUCUUAAAAGACAAAUAAAGCUGAUGUCCUAAAAGA